Molecule: microRNA precursor, 136 nt
Filed under: Hordeum vulgare
Lineage: Eukaryota; Viridiplantae; Streptophyta; Magnoliopsida; Poales; Poaceae
Description: microRNA MIR1122
Rfam family: MIR1120/MIR1122 microRNA precursor family
Source: RNAcentral
AAAGUACUCCCUCCAUCUCAAAAAAUUUGUCUUAGAUUUGUCUAGAUAUGAAUGUAUCUAGUCACAUUUUAGUAUUUUGAUACAUACAUUUCUAGACAAACCUAAGACAAGAAUUUUGGAACGGAGGGAGUAGUAU